AGUGAACGCUGGCGGUAGGCCUAACACAUGCAAGUCGAACGGCAGCACAGUAAGAGCUUGCUCUUACGGGUGGCGAGUGGCGGACGGGUGAGGAAUACAUCGGAAUCUACUUUUUCGUGGGGGAUAACGUAGGGAAACUUACGCUAAUACCGCAUACGACCUACGGGUGAAAGCAGGGGAUCUUCGGACCUUGCGCGAUUGAAUGAGCCGAUGUCGGAUUAGCUAGUUGGCGGGGUAAAGGCCCACCCAGGCGACGAUCCGUAGCUGGUCUGAGAGGAUGAUCGGCCACACUGGAACUGAGACACGGUCCAGACUCCUACGGGAGGCAGCAGUGGGGAAUAGUGGACAAUGGGCGCAAGCCUGAUCCAGCCAGACCGCGUGGGUGAAGAAGGCCUUCGGGUUGUAAAGCCCUUUUGUUGGGAAAGAAAAGCAGCAGGUUAAUACCCCGCUGUUCUGACGGUACCCAAAGAAUAAGCACCGGCUAACUUCGUG
Molecule: ribosomal RNA, 492 nt
Filed under: uncultured bacterium
Lineage: Bacteria
Description: partial 16S ribosomal RNA
Rfam family: Bacterial small subunit ribosomal RNA
Source: RNAcentral